Long non-coding RNA from Vicia villosa (hairy vetch), 1419 nucleotides. RefSeq lists it as uncharacterized. Lineage: Eukaryota; Viridiplantae; Streptophyta; Magnoliopsida; Fabales; Fabaceae. The record is from RefSeq and is a predicted model, not a curated record. The transcript has 3 exons.
UAAUAGAAAGAGGGAAAAUUAGGGUUAUGUUGUGUGCUGAUUCAUCUUCACUCUCGUGACUCCCUCACUCCCACUCUAAACGAACGAAACGGCGGUGGCGGAGACUCCAUCUUCUCCGACCAAAUCGAACCUUCCGGCCACCGCAAGCAAUACGCUCUUGUUUCCUCUUCCACAUAUUUCUGAUUCGUUCUCAUCCCGCGUCUCUCUUCCAUCCCAAUUGAAAUCCCUGACUUCUAAAAGUAGAAUUGAAUGGUGCAUACACUAAAUCGGGGCGUGAGACCUUAGGGGAAAUGCUCACGGAGUCUUGCACUACAUAAUAACAACAAGAACAAGCGAAAAAAUGAAGAACGCAAACUCAUAGAGCUUACCUGAGGUGUGAGUUGAAGAUGACUAUUGAAGAAAACUAGAGGGGAGAUAAUAAGAGCUCCGAAUGCGCAACAGAUGAAGAAGUCAAUGAUUCAGACUAGUGAUGGUAAUGAUGAAGUUGUUGAGGUCACGAUGAGGACGAAAAUUGAAGGAUAGUGACGACUCCGUGAAGAUUACAAAUGAUGAUCGUGAAUCAUGGCUUGAAGCUUCAAUGUGGAGAAUAUUAUUAUUGGAGUUGAUGGUUGAUUGGAGAGGAGUUGCUAAGAGUGAUGCAGAGAUGGUGAAAUGGAGAAAGUCGGGUUCAUAUGGUGAUGAAGAUGAGAGAGUGUGGAAUCGAUGAUGAUGAUUCAAUGGAGCUUCUCUCUGAUAAUGAGAGAGAGCUCUAAAAUUUUAGGUGAUUAUGGUGAAGUCUAAAUCUGGAAAAUGGUGGAGAGUGGAAGCCCCUGAAUUAUGGAGGGAGCGGAGGUUAUAUAGAUGAUGAAGGAGAGGAAGCAGUUAGAAGGGGAUGGAGUCAGGGCUAUUGGAUCAUAUUGUUGGUUACAAGAUGAAAGGUGAAGAUUAAUCGGUUAAAAGGUCAGCAACAUGGUAACGAAGUCACGGUUUUAGAGUUUGCUUAAUCAUGAAGAGAGAUGAUGUCUUGAAGCCUUUGAUUAUGCGGGUUAAUAGUUUGGCAUGAAUGCUACAGGUUGGUGGCAAGUAAUUUGGACUGUCUUUUGAACACCGCAUGAGCGUUUUUGCUUCGAAGUUGCAGGUUGAAUUUAUGUUGGAUUUUCUAUUUUGAUGCAAGUCUGAUCUGAACUGGUGUAAGUGAAGUUUUGAAGACAACAUGGUGCAUUUGAAGAUGACUCGAAACAUUUUUUUGUAUAGUUCUUUUCGUAAUAGCCUGAUGUAUUUGCAUCUUGUUGUAAUAAACAAUAUAGGAUCUUGUAACCUUGUAGCAUUUUGAUGCAUUUUAUAAUUUGGAAAUUUGUAACAAUUUUGUACUGUGCCAAUUCAAAUUCAAACCCAACCGUACAAGAUUUAUAUUCUAUAAGGAAAUGAUGGCUUGUACUA